GACGAACGCUGGCGGCGUGCUUAACACAUGCAAGUCGAGCGGUAAGGCCCUUUCGGGGGUACACGAGCGGCGAACGGGUGAGUAACACGUGGGUGACCUGCCCUCAGCUCUGGGAUAAGCCUGGGAAACCGGGUCUAAUACCGGAUAUGACUCCAUGACGCAUGUUGUGGGGUGGAAAGCCUUGUGCGGCUGAGGAUGGGCCCGCGGCCUAUCAGCUUGUUGGUGGGGUGAUGGCCUACCAAGGCGACGACGGGUAGCCGGCCUGAGAGGGCGACCGGCCACACUGGGACUGAGACACGGCCCAGACUCCUACGGGAGGCAGCAGUGGGGAAUCUUGCGCAAUGGGCGAAAGCCUGACGCAGCGACGCCGCGUGAGGGAUGACGGCCUUGG
RNAcentral lists this ribosomal RNA (391 nucleotides) under uncultured bacterium. Its description in RNAcentral is "bacterial SSU rRNA". It matches the Rfam family "Bacterial small subunit ribosomal RNA", at positions 28 to 420 of the family's 1533-position model. The record is from RNAcentral.